AAAAUGCGAUAAUUAGCAUGAAUUGCAGGCUUCUGUGAAUCGUUGAACUUUCGAACGCACUGCGCCCGGAAGCAAUUCCGGGCACAUUUGGUUGAGUGACACUUCUUUGCUGAAACUCUCUCUGCGGCCCCAAGCCCACGCGGGGGAAUCAUUUCAAGUCCGCGGUUUGCCCGAUCGGUGAUCCGCACAGAAAAAAAUAGAUCGCUGUUUAUUGGUCGGCAUCAGGUCCAAGUCUGAUUGCGGCGUUUUUGUGGUAACGCGCCGAAGUGCUGCGAGCGGAGCAAGCCCGAUUCUGACCUGUGUACUUUAAAAAAAAAAAUAUUGUCCUCAACUCAAGUGUGACUACCCGCUGAACUUAA
This 359-nucleotide unclassified non-coding RNA is filed under the name uncultured fungus. RNAcentral describes it as "sequence contains ITS1". The stretch from base 1 to 101 matches the Rfam family "5.8S ribosomal RNA", at positions 50 to 154 of the family's 154-position model. The record is from RNAcentral. Lineage: Eukaryota; Fungi.